This 2771-nucleotide long non-coding RNA is filed under the name Stegodyphus dumicola. Its description in RNAcentral is "uncharacterized LOC118192628". The record is from RNAcentral. Lineage: Eukaryota; Metazoa; Arthropoda; Arachnida; Araneae; Eresidae.
UCUUUCCCAACACUGGAGGUGAAAUCAAAACCAAUUUUUCGUAUUAUUUAAAAUCAGUUUUUCUCAUAUUUACAGUAAUCAUUAUAAAAAAAAAUCAGAUUCCUUUUUUCAAUUUCAAUUGGUAACUUAAGAAAAGCUUUUAAAAUGUGCAUCAAGUGUGCUUUCUGCAUAUAUGUAAGAGUCUGAGAAUGGCUUGUUUCACAAAAGUUUAAUCAUAACUAAUCUGAACAUUUUCGUAGAAAUUCUCUUUAAUUUACUAUGGAAGGUCCACCUGAGUGUUAAGCGAUUAAUAAUCAUGCAACAAUUAAUUAAGAGGAUUAUUACAUAUUUGUCACCUUCAGAGAAUUAUAAGUGAUUUCGAAGUGUUAAUCGCUACAAACACAGUAUCGGCAUAGCCUACGACAGUGGUAAGCAGUUGUAGCUAAGGAUCAUACAGAGCAAAUCAAAAGGAAAAGAAUUUGAUUAAACUAUUCCCCUUUUUUAGGGUACAAAGUCAAAAGUGUUUUUUGAGCAGCCUUACUAUUGUGUCAGCAAAGGAUGUCGGUUUUAUGAUGUUGUUUCUUGUGUUAUUAAAGCCUAAUUUAGAUUGUCUAUAACAUUUUACUUGCUUACAUGAGAAGCAGGAAAAAACAUGAUUAUGGGAAAUAUCACUUUUGGGGCCCCAGAAGGCUUGUAGUUUAUGUGAUAGACAGGCCUCACUUACGAGUUUUCUCGCUGAUUUAAAACAGCGAGAUGCAUUUAUCAUUAAACAUGGAAGCUAAUUUACAAGUUUUGUCGCUUGCAUUUCUUAAAUUCUUUCUCACAAAAGUAUAAGAUACACUUGUAUAUAAAUAUGUACCCUUUGUACUCAGUAUGACACACAUUUUGACCAAAUAAUUCAUCAAUUCCAGAAAAUGUUAAAAGGAUAUUUCAGUCUCCAGUAUAAAAAAUAUAGUAAUAGCAUUGUACAAUAUACGGUUGUAAAGUUAGUUGAAAUCUAUAAUUCUCAUGCAGCUGUUUUAACAAACAUUUCAUUGCUUUUUUUUUUUUUUUUUUUUUUUCAUACAACCUACUCCUUAAAACUUACUCAGCAGAGGAUGUUUUACAGGUGUUGUAUAUUUAAGGAUUUCUUUACUUCAAGCCUUGCCAUCACACACUAAACUUUGCAUCUGCAAAAGGAACUUCUCACUGCCAUUCUUUCAACAAUUUUAAUAACUGUCUUAUUAAACAACUUUCGCAGUUAAAUAUAUUUGGUGGCACGGCUAUGAACUUUCUUUUACUCUUAACUCAUUUUAUGCUAGCCAUUCCCGGAAUUUCUUUCUACAGUAAAAACAAAAGGCUUAAUGCACAUUGUUUAAAUUAGAUGCUUAUUUUGGGCAAUUACGAUAACUGAACGCAUAAGACGAACACGGGACUUGUUACCAAAGAUUUUAAUCAGCUUUCGCGGUAAGCAUUUUAGGAAGCCAAUAUCGCUGCUAAAAACAAGAGCUACAAAUGGUAAUGAAACAAUAAACGCAAGCAAUAUUUUCUGAAGAGGUGCAGACAAAAUUUAGUAGAAAUUUAUCCCAGUACAAGGGCUCAUGGUUUUGUUCCAAUCCGUAAAAUCGAAAAGGAAAAGCAAUUUUAAAUACAUCCUGUGCAAUGUUUUCGUGUAACGUAUACAUUAAUAUAUCUUAAUAUUUUAUGUACCUUUCCUCCCAAAAUUCUCAUGUUCCUCAUAUGAUCUGCAGGUCAUUAAUCCGCAAGCAUGCAUCAGAAGCACGUGGUCGAUUUCUCGAAAACAAAAUACAGGGGAAAUCCUCGCACACACACCAAAUCAUCUUUACAGAAUGCAAUCGAGAUUCAGACUUUUCAUAAACAAAAUUACCCAGUGUUUGCAUAUCCUUCUAAACAGGAACAAUACUGGCAAAUAUUUAAAUAUCCACAUGCUCGCGUUUCAUUCUUUGCUACCUUCACAAUCAAAAGGAUGCGGUGCGCGCGAUAAGCGCAGAAGAGCAGGUGCUACGCUGCUGCUCAAUACGCGCAGAGUAGACAGAAUGAUGUUUCUUUCUACAAAUAAUGUUACAACGGGUAGAAAAUGAACCAGCCAGUAAUAAGCCAGCGUUUGUUGCUCGCUCGUAAAAGCGCCACAGGGUUGGUUGUCUCGCUCUCGCUGGUUCCUAUCACGUUCACUUGUCGACUACCCCUGACAAUGAGUCUCCUGAAAGUCGCCAUUACAGCCGGAUCACGGAUCGCGUUACUUACUAUAUUAUAAAAAGCAUACAUUUUAAAUAAUAAAUUUUAUAACCCUGGAUACAAGUCUAAGUCCGAACGAAAUCGUGUCAACAGUCAAAUAGUUAUAACCUUGACCAACUCCUGCAUUCCGAUCUGAGGAGUAACACAGUGCAGCUGCCCUUUUUUUUUUUUUUUUUUUUUUUUUUUUUUUUUAAUUGCCUGCCGAAGGAAAAGAGAUUCCAACGAAUGCAUUGUUGAUCAACGUUAUUAGUACUUGCCUCAGUGUCGCUGACCUUCUGACCUUGGGAUAUCAUACAUUAUAGAUUUAUCAAAAGCGAUACCGAAGGUAACAUGAUGCUUGAAUUUUUGUUGGAAAAACUGUCCAGAUUUUUCAGUCUGCAUCCUGGAGGGAGAAAAAAAAUAAUAAUGAAGUAUAACAUCCAUAAAAUUGGGAAUAUUUAGAUUAACAUUAAGUCAACUACUCAUUUAUAGAAAAAACUAUACAUGCAUUUUUUAACACAUAUAUAUCCACUGUGUAAAUGAAGUCUUUGAAAAUUAAAGCUUUGUAAAAUGCUGCA